This 72-nucleotide transfer RNA is filed under the name Toxocara canis (dog roundworm). It matches the Rfam family "tRNA". From Rfam's summary of the family: Transfer RNA (tRNA) molecules are approximately 80 nucleotides in length. Their secondary structure includes four short double-helical elements and three loops (D, anti-codon, and T loops). Further hydrogen bonds mediate the characteristic L-shaped molecular structure. tRNAs have two regions of fundamental functional importance: the anti-codon, which is responsible for specific mRNA codon recognition, and the 3' end, to which the tRNAs corresponding amino acid is attached (by aminoacyl-tRNA synthetases). tRNAs cope with the degeneracy of the genetic code in two manners: having more than one tRNA (with a specific anti-codon) for a particular amino acid; and 'wobble' base-pairing, i.e. permitting non-standard base-pairing at the 3rd anti-codon position. Lineage: Eukaryota; Metazoa; Nematoda; Chromadorea; Rhabditida; Toxocaridae. The record is from Rfam by way of RNAcentral.
GCGUCUGUGGUGUAAUGGUUAGCAUGGUUGCCUUCCAAGCAAUACAUAGGGGUUCGAUUCCCCUCAGAUGCA